RNAcentral lists this ribosomal RNA (440 nucleotides) under uncultured bacterium. RNAcentral describes it as "partial 16S ribosomal RNA". It matches the Rfam family "Bacterial small subunit ribosomal RNA", at positions 339 to 795 of the family's 1533-position model. The record is from RNAcentral.
CUACGGGCCGCAGCAGUCGAGAAUCUUCCGCAAUGGGCGAAAGCCUGACGGAGCAAUGCCGCGUGUAGGAUGAAGGCCUUUGGGUCGUAAACUACUGUCACCGGGGAUGAAUAAUGACAGUACCCGGAGAGGAAGCCACGGCUAACUACGUGCCAGCAGCCGCGGUAAUACGUAGGUGGCGAGCGUUGUUCGGAUUUAUUGGGCGUAAAGGGUUCGUAGGGGGUUAGCUAAGUCUGAUGUGAAAUCCCGCGGCUCAACCGCGGAACUGCAUUGGAAACUGGCAGACUAGAGGAUCGGAGAGGAGAGUGGAAUUCCGGGAGUAGCGGUGGAAUGCGUAGAUAUCCGGAAGAACACCGACAGCGAAGGCAGCUCUCUGGACGAUUUCUGACCCUGAGGGACGAAAGCGUGGGUAGCAAACAGGAUUAGAUACCCUCGUAGUC